This 344-nucleotide long non-coding RNA is filed under the name Setaria viridis. RNAcentral's name for it is "long non-coding RNA (SVIR_LNC004455)". Lineage: Eukaryota; Viridiplantae; Streptophyta; Magnoliopsida; Poales; Poaceae. The record is from RNAcentral.
AAGGUAUCGCAACGAUGUAUGUGCCGUCGUGAUAUGCUUCAACCAUAUUGCAACGGAGUAUGUCGUGGUUAUACGCUCAAUGGAUAUCGCAACGGAAAAUAUUUCAUCGUCAUAUGCUUGUUGGUCCUCGGCUAAAAUGGAAAAUACAAAACAAUAAUUGAUGCCACAUAUAUAUCAUUAAUUAAAUCAAUCCAUCGUUCAUGCACACCAUUCAUGAUACAACAAAAUAUUCAACACAUGAAAAUACUCUUGUACCCAUUCAUCUCCCAUCCCAGCAUUCAUGAUAAUCAACUUUGCUUCAAGGUCUGCUUGUAACCUAUAGGCAACCUUGAGUCUUAUUGCCC